AUUGAACGCUGGCGGCAGGCCUAACACAUGCAAGUCGAACGAGUGGCGGACGGGUGAGUAAUGUCUGGGAAACUGCCUGCUGGAGGGGGAUAACUACUGGAAACGGUAGCUAAUACCGCAUACCAUCAGCUGUGCCCAGAUGGGAUUAGCUGGUUGGCGGGGUAACGGCUCACCAAGGCGACGAUCCCUAGCUGGUCUGAGAGGAUGACCGUGCAAACUGGAACUACGACACGGUCCAGACUCCUACGGGAGACGGCAGUGGGGGAUAUUGCACAAUGGGGUCAAGUCAGAUGCAGCCAUGCCCCGUGUAGGAAGAAGGCCUUCGGGUUGUAAAGUACUUUCAGCGGGGAGGCGUUACCCGCAGAAGGGGCACCGGCUAACUCCGGGCCAGCCGCCGCGGUAAUUC
Molecule: ribosomal RNA, 406 nt
Filed under: uncultured bacterium
Lineage: Bacteria
Description: partial 16S ribosomal RNA
Rfam family: Bacterial small subunit ribosomal RNA
Source: RNAcentral